AAUAUUGCUUGUGCAUAGUCAUUUCAUUCAAUUUUUGCAUUAGUGAAUUAAUGCUUUGAUUUUUUUGAAACAUUCUGACUUUAUUUGAAUUUCAGCAUUUUUUCUCUAUCUGGAAGGGAAGCCAUUUUACAGCUGCCUUACCUUCUUUCACCACUUCAGAGUUGGACAAAAAAUUUUAAAGGAGUAGCCUAAGCAAAUUUGAAAGCAAAGAGCAAAUAUGCUAUGAGGUCUGCAUUACGGAUCACCAAGAUCAAGUAGCUUUGUGUGAGAUCUGAAGGAAUCUCUGAGCCUGUGACCUUUGCAACUGCUUCCCCAGACUCAGCGGUGCCUUGAGGUGGCAGAAGGAAGCAUUGCAAGCAAUCAGUUCCACAAGGUUGCAGUGUCUGGUGUGCGAUACGAGAAAGUCUGCAGAAACCCUGUAAAGCUCAGAUUGACGCGGGGCAGCUCGUAGCUGUUGUGAAAAGGAGGCUGUGACCAGCGUGACUGCUUCUGAAAUGAAGAUUACGUUUGAAAUGCUCUGUAUUUUCACCAUGUU
Molecule: long non-coding RNA, 535 nt
Filed under: Anas platyrhynchos platyrhynchos (common mallard)
Lineage: Eukaryota; Metazoa; Chordata; Aves; Anseriformes; Anatidae
Description: lncRNA (ENSAPLG00000022877.1)
Source: RNAcentral